CAUCAAUACGUUAUGGGCAGUUUUGACCCUUUUCCGUUUGUAAAAUGAUCCAUUAUAUACAAAAAAAGGGUAGUGUGAUUGGUGGGAUAAGAUAUAAUAAUAAAUUGAGAUAAACGGAAUUAUAUUUUCUAGCGUUUGAUUAUAGGUAUUAAUUAGUCCUGAGAUUGAAAUAGAGUAACUAGCUAUCUUAUACAUCAUUUAUCCCAUCUUGGCAAUCAAAUGACCCCUGGUAGUAUGAAAUAUUUCUACAUUAUCAAUUUUACUGGUAACGCUGAAAUACCAAAAAAAUUCAUUUGUAAAAUAUUUCAAGUGAAAUAGUUCCUGUCAGUCGCAAUUUUCAUUUUUUUUCAAGUGGUUUAUUUUAUAAAAAAAAUGUUCAGAUACUGUUUUUAACUUUAACUUUUUUUUAACCUUCAACAAUGUAUUAUUCAAAUGCCGACUAAGAUAGGUCAAGGUGGUGGUCGAGGAUUUGGCGUGUUGCAUUGUUUAGGGCAGGAAGUAUAUGCAGUGAUAAAUGCACUAAUCAGGCAUGAAUUUAAGGCUAGGUGUGGGUGCGAUAGUCAUAGAUAUUAUUGUGUAUGGAAUAUGGAUAGAGUAGAAUAUAUGUAUUAAUGUGAUGUACCCCGCUAGUGCGGAAUUGGGUUAUUGGGCAAAAUCUGUUGACAAUAUGGGCAACUGACAGUGACGCCGACGCACAUGUAAUAUCAGACCGGAGUCUGAAAUUUACAAGUAUAACGUGAAAUUCACUAAUAGUUAACCUAAAAUUCAUAAACAGAAAUAGAGGGUUUUACUGAGCCGAUGGUCGAUUGGGAACAGUCUCUUUGCUCUUUCGGAUAAUGGUAAGGCUCGUCUACAUAUUAUCCUCCACAGAUCCCACUUUGUGGGACUAUACUGGAUAGUUGUUUAUAUAUAGAGGGUUGGUUCAAAACUUUUAAUAAGUCACAUAUGACAUAUGGGUCCAAAUUUGACGAGCGUGGAAGCUGUUAAGUAAGGGACAGAACGAUGUUACUAUAACAUAACGUCUGAUGGUCGUUAUGGCAAAAGAACGGCAAUCAAGAGCGAUCAACCAAAACAAGACGUUAAGGAUAGUUUAGGCUUACAAGGAGAUAGUAAGAAUAUGUUUUUUGAAUAUUCUUUAUGUUGUACUUUUUAGAGUUUCUUGAAAAAAUGUUCUUUAUAAAUAGGAAGAGUUAGUAAAGAAGGGAGGAUCCGAAUUGGAGGAGAUAGAACACUUUGUAAAAGAUUGAUCUAAAAGAAUAUACAAAAGUUAUCUUAUUCAUUGAUUACAUAACCCGAAUAUACAUUUAGAUCCUAUAUUAACAAGAUCCAAUGAUUCCUCAAGCAUCUCUUAUUUUCUUUCUUUUCACAUUAUUGUCAGGGAAAGAGACUUUCUAGAAAACCACAAUAAUUAGGUAGUAACUUUCUUUGAUUACGUUAGCGCAUUUAUCUAGAUUCAUUGAGCAUUGAUGUUUCUUUAUUUAUGAGCAUUUACUCGGCUAAAAUAUAUUAAUAACGUCUUUCAUCUUGUCUACUUCAUCUAUCAUUUGGUCUAGAUUUCAUUAUCCUUAUCUAAGAUUCACCCAUUUUCUCAUUAUUAAUUUUAGUCGAAAGGUUUAAUACUUUUUGGUCAAAUAAUUUGGCGUCGUUUGUGAGGAAGUCUUUAGUUAAAAUUUUAAUUUCAUCUAAAUCGUAAAAAGGAUAGCCAUCUUUUCCUAGCUUUGCACAAACU
RNAcentral lists this long non-coding RNA (1729 nucleotides) under Nicotiana benthamiana. RNAcentral describes it as "long non-coding RNA (NBEN_LNC021705)". Lineage: Eukaryota; Viridiplantae; Streptophyta; Magnoliopsida; Solanales; Solanaceae. The record is from RNAcentral.